GUGGGGAAUAUUGCACAAUGGAGGAAACUCUGAUGCAGCGAUGCCGCGUGAGGGAAGAAGGUUUUCGGAUUGUAAACCUCUGUCAUCGGGGACGAUAAUGACGGUACCCGAGAAGGAAGCUCCGGCUAACUACGUGCCAGCAGCCGCGGUAAUACGUAGGGAGCAAGCGUUAUCCGGAAUUACUGGGUGUAAAGGGAGUGUAGGCGGGGUAGCAAGUCAGAUGUGAAAAUUAUGGGCUCAACUCAUAACCUGCAUUUGAAACUGUUGCUCUUGAGUGAAGUAGAGGUAAGCGGAAUUCCUAGUGUAGCGGUGAAAUGCGUAGAUAUUAGGAGGAACAUCAGUGGCGAAGGCGGCUUACUGGGCUUUUACUGACGCUGAGGCUCGAAAGCGUGGGUAGCAAACAGGA
RNAcentral lists this ribosomal RNA (406 nucleotides) under uncultured bacterium. Its description in RNAcentral is "bacterial SSU rRNA". It matches the Rfam family "Bacterial small subunit ribosomal RNA", at positions 354 to 777 of the family's 1533-position model. The record is from RNAcentral.